Chenopodium quinoa (quinoa) is the source of this 1075-nucleotide long non-coding RNA. RefSeq lists it as uncharacterized. NCBI's taxonomy places the organism in Eukaryota, Viridiplantae, Streptophyta, Magnoliopsida, Caryophyllales, Amaranthaceae. The transcript is spliced from 3 exons. The record is from RefSeq and is a predicted model, not a curated record.
AAAAAAUUAGAUCUAUUUCACAUUUUCACGGUACUCCUUGACUCCAUUGAAGCGUACUCGAAGUUCUCCAUUGAAGGGGCUUCUGAGCUUUCUCUCCUCCACUGAAGCAGUCUCAAAGGGUUUGGUUUGUGGAGCGUACUCGAAAUAUUCUCCAUUGAAGCGGCUUCUGACUUUCUGAGCUUUCUUUCCUCCAUUGAAGUAGUCUCUAAGAAACUUUAUAAGAGCUUCGUGCAAACAUUUAGCGGUUGUUUCGGGUUGGGGAAUUCAAGUUUGGAGCGGUUUCGUUGGUGGGGCUGGGGCUGGGGGUCUAUUGCGCUCAUGUGGGUCUGGAAGGAGGGUGGUUUCGGUGGUGGUGCAGGGGGAGGGGGUGGCUGUCGGGACUAGGCUGGGGAGUGGCUGUCGAUGGACGAUGAUGGGACAACAUAUUAAUCAAAUCCUGGAUCCGCCACUAGUACGUAACACCUUUGACAUCGUACCAAACUACCCUUUACUAGGGUAUUCCGACGUUGGCCAGGAGUUGGUGAUUGAUACGACUAAGUCUCCGUACUUGAAGACCCCCGGUACGUUCACAAAUUGGCAUAAUAUGGAGGCAUAUUUGCACGGAGUUGCAGGAACACAAGGUAGUAAGGCGGCAUUUAAGUUGGUAGUUGAUCGCGAUAUUGCACUUGUAAACAAGUCGAUGGAUAAUUUGGAGGAUGAGUAUCUUAUACCGGUUGCUUGGUGGAUUUUGAAGAAUAAAGGAAUGGUUCAACAGCCUAAUGGUUCUUGGUUAUUGAUGGAUCAUGAAAUGGAUGAUGAAGAUGAUUAUAUUGACUUUGACCUUUUCAUAUAAUAAUAUUUUUUAUUUCCAAAAAAUAUCUUUAAUUUCCAUAGAAUCCAAAAAUUUGUGUAAUGUGUAGUUAUGGGUUAGAACUCAGAAGGAGUACAUUUGGACCUUUCUAGACCUGACCUCGUCGAAGACAUUGAGUCUAUGUUUUUUUUUUCUUCUUUUUUUUAGUGUUUUUGGUUUCGAUUUCUGUUGUUUGGAUUAUCCUACCUUUGGCAUUACAAUUUAUCAUGGAUUCUUUAACUUUAA